Molecule: long non-coding RNA, 1413 nt
Filed under: Piliocolobus tephrosceles (Ugandan red Colobus)
Lineage: Eukaryota; Metazoa; Chordata; Mammalia; Primates; Cercopithecidae
Description: lncRNA (ENSPTEG00000013647.1)
Source: RNAcentral
AUGGUAAAAUUACUUCCUAAUAAAACUGAUCAUGUAGAAGGAAGUAUGAUUAAGUUAGUUUUGUUAAAACUUGAUCAUACGAAAAAUUACAAUAAAAUUUACGAAAAAAAUAUUCCUAGUAAUAACCCAUGUAUAUUUUACAAAAGUAAAAAUAUAUUAAAAAUGUCAUCAGAAAUGAAAAGAAUAAGAGAAUAUCAUUUAAAUAUAAAUAUAUACAAAACAAAUAAUAUUAUAAAACAAAAUUUAGACCAUAUACAUUUAAUGACUUGUUUAAAAAAAAAUUAUGUAACACGUUUUAACAAUGAAUAUAAAAUUUUACCAAGUAAUGAUUAUACUAUUAUAUCUAAUGAAUUAAUAAAAUUAAAAAAUAAUUUGAAUAAAAAAGAGAUUGAAAUUGUUGUUAAAAAUGUACGAAGUCUUCAAAAAGUCUCAUCAGUCAUAUAUGUAUAUAAAAUGGAAGUUACUCAUAUGAUUUGUUUUUAUACUAUUUUUAAUGAUCAGGUCAGGCAUGUCACAACAGUGUCGCCGUCAUCGGUAAAAAGUAGUAGUGGUGGUGGUAGUAGUAGUGGUGGUAGUAGUAGUAAUGGUAGUGGUGGUAGUAGUAGUAUUGGUAGUGGUGGUAGUAAUGGUAGUGGUGGUAGUAGUGGCACUGGUGGCUGGCGCAAUAAUGAUCGUAAAAACAAGUACAUAAUUCAAAACGAAUUAAGACAAUUACAAAAACACUUUUUUUAUAAAAAUAAUUUCUAUUAUGAUGAUUUAUACAUUCAUACUUUUUUUAAAAUGAAUAAAAAUAUAAAUCAAACAAAUUACUUUUUAACAAAUAAAAGAUAUCUUUGUAUUUUGCAAUUGUAUAGUAAAGAAAAUAUAAAAUUAAUGCAUUAUAAUUAUUUUGAAUCUAUUAAUUGGAAAAUAUUAUUUGCAAAAAAAAGGAAUAAUAGUUUAUAUUUUGUACGCGAGUUAGAGGAUGAAAAUUCGGCUGUUUAUUUUGUUCCUAUAUCUGUUGGUAUAGGUUGGGUUCAGGUAGGAUAUAAUGAAAGUAGUAGUGGUGGUAGUAGUAGUAGUAGUAGUAGUAGUAGCAGUAGUAAUACCACUAACAGUAGUAGUACCAUUAGCAAUAGUAAUACCAUUAGCAGUAGUAGUACCACUAGCAGUAGUAAUAGUACCACUAGCAGUAGUAAUAGUACCACUAGCAGUAGUAAUAGUACCACUAGCAGUAGUAAUAGUAACACUAGCAGUAGUAAUAACGUUGCACAUUAUGGUAUACGCCAAAGAGUAGUAAUUACUUACCCACUCAUCUGUUACAUAAAAAAAGAUAUAAAUAUGUCUACAUUGUUUCUAUUAUCGGAUAAUGAACAAAUUGAAUAUAGAUGUAUUGGGAAGGGUGUAAAAAAAACAUGCAGUACAUAUUUAUAA